GGAUGACAAGGGGGUGAGUACAUUAUAUGUGAAUCUUUGUUUUAGAAGUGGACUUCUCCUUUAAGAUGUGAUGUUACAAUCUGCACCACAGCUAUUUAAAGUAUUUUUUUCUCCAGAUUAUUGAGUGCCUUGCGCACUACAACUAGUGAAUAGAUGUGAAAACAUUAAAUAUUGUUUCCAAGCAUUUAUACUGUCAGUGAAACAGCUUGUGAAUAGUCAUAAUGUGAUUUACCUCAGAAAAGACAACAAUAAUGAGCUUUGGAGCCUACGUCAUCCGCUGACUCUCUCGUGAACAACUAGAGGUUACAGUUUAUGAAGUUGUAAAUAUUUUUCUUUUUCUUACACAAACGAAUCACUUCACUUCUGGAGGACAUUUUAACCCCACAUAGCUGUGUGGAGUAUUUUUUAUGAUGGAUGGGUGCACUUUAUUGGACUUCAAAAUCUCAAUACCCAUUUACUUCUAUUAUAACGCUUGGAAGAGCCAGGACAUUACAUUUAACUCUGAUUGUAUUUGUCUGAUAGAAGAAAAUCAUAUACACCUAGGAUGGCUUGAGGGUAAGUAAGUAAUGGGGUAAUUUUCCAUUUUGGGUGAACUAUCCCUGUAAGUCAUUUUAGCAUUUUGCUGGUGACAAAUAACCACCAACAGAAUUUGCAACAACAAUAUAAACACAGAGCCAAACAAAAUGGUUUGUGAGGUGAAUAUAUCACGCUCUGAAACACACCAGCCAAGAUAUUAAUCAGGAUGGGAAUAAAAUAUGUUAUAUAUAGUACCAAACAUGUAACUUUCCUAUACAGAGCCUUAAGAAUUAUUGUGAAAUCAUGUGGUUCUUUUUUAACUCUGUUUUUUCUCUGCUUUCAUCUUCUGAGGUUCAGCAGCAGGUAAUGACAGAAGAUCUGUCUCCACUAGAGCGGGAAGAUCAGUAGGAGGAGUGGGAGGGAUGGUUCUCUAGAAAGUAAAUUGUCUUUGCCCUCCACAGGAGAAGUGUUUGUGGCAACUGCCUUCUCUGAACAGCGGUCUCAUUAGCACAGGCCUCACUAAACUGGAGAUUUGGUUAAGCAACAAGAACGGUUUGGCCUGACGGUGGAAAAGCAGCUCAAGUCUUCUGAAGAGAGCUGAUUCCUUUAUAUGAUCAACCGUCUGCAGCUUAGGGUGUCUGAAGUUGAUGCAGUCUGGGCACUAAUAUCUGUUGGGUUGCUGACCAUCACUGAAAAUGAUGUACUUCUCCAAAUCUUUUCUGCCUUGACCCUGCGUCUUCUGCCUUCUGCCAUCAUUGUUGAGGAUAGUACUUCACAGAAGAGUCUCCAGAAUCUACAUCAACCAUUUGCUUCUGGACUGUCAUUUGGUACGUUUGGAUUACUGCUACAUAUGGAUUGCCCUAAUACCAUGAAAAACACUUGGAGGUUCAUUCAAACUGUGGUGCUUGACUUGGGACAGAACAAAACCCUAAAACUAAAGUGACUUUUUGAACUUUAAUUAUAUAAACCAUUGGCAACAUGUGCAGCCAACACAGUGCCAUACUUAAACUCAUCUCCUUACUGCUACCUCUACUUUUUACAGGAAGCAUACCCUAAAUCAGAUUGUUGUUGGUUUGUAUUUAAAACUGCACUGAAAAACAUUUUAAAAAAUACAUUACCUUUAACUUUGAUUUGUCACUGCCUUUCUAUGUGUCAUAUGAAUAGAACAUUGUUUUCAUUAAUUUGUAAUGUAUUUUUGAAGCACUUAAGUUACUAGACUAGUAA
Labeo rohita (rohu) is the source of this 1740-nucleotide long non-coding RNA. RefSeq lists it as uncharacterized. The record is from RefSeq and is a predicted model, not a curated record. The transcript has 4 exons. Lineage: Eukaryota; Metazoa; Chordata; Actinopteri; Cypriniformes; Cyprinidae.